Molecule: ribosomal RNA, 214 nt
Filed under: Micrococcus luteus
Lineage: Bacteria; Bacillati; Actinomycetota; Actinomycetes; Micrococcales; Micrococcaceae
Description: partial 16S ribosomal RNA
Rfam family: Bacterial small subunit ribosomal RNA
Source: RNAcentral
UUUUACGGAGAGUUUGAUCCUGGCUCAGGAUGAACGCUGGCGGCGUGCUUAACACAUGCAAGUCGAACGAUGAAGCCCAGCUUGCUGGGUGGAUUAGUGGCGAACGGGUGAGUAACACGUGAGUAACCUGCCCUUAACUCUGGGAUAAGCCUGGGAAACUGGGUCUAAUACCGGAUAGGAGCGUCCACCGCAUGGUGGGUGUUGGAAAGAUUUA